UUUCCGUAGGUGAACCCGCGGAAGGAUCAUUGCAAAUCGAGAGGGGGGUGAGUGGGGUGUGGAUGGGGGAGAGUGUGGAGGAGGGUGUGGAGGGGAGGGUGCGUGGCUCUGCUGCGUGCUCUCUUUUCCUGCUCUGCUGCGUGCUCCCUCAGCACCCCCACUCACCCGCCGACAUUUGGUCGGGACGCGAGUCCCGGAUCAUUCACGCUUGUGCAGUUUGACAGAGUAGUGCUGAGUGUAUAAUAAUGACAACUUUUAACAAUGGAUCUCUUGGCUCUU
RNAcentral lists this unclassified non-coding RNA (279 nucleotides) under plant metagenome. RNAcentral describes it as "partial contains small subunit ribosomal RNA, internal transcribed spacer 1, and 5.8S ribosomal RNA". The record is from RNAcentral.